Molecule: ribosomal RNA, 447 nt
Filed under: Metabacillus halosaccharovorans
Lineage: Bacteria; Bacillati; Bacillota; Bacilli; Caryophanales; Bacillaceae
Description: bacterial SSU rRNA
Rfam family: Bacterial small subunit ribosomal RNA
Source: RNAcentral
GCGAACCAAUGGGAGCUUGCUCCCUGAGGUUAGCGGCGGACGGGUGAGUAACACGUGGGUAACCUGCCUGUAAGAUUGGGAUAACUCCGGGAAACCGGAGCUAAUACCGGAUAACAUUUUGAACCGCAUGGUUCAAAAUUGAAAGAUGGUUUCGGCUGUCACUUACAGAUGGACCCGCGGCGCAUUAGCUAGUUGGUGAGGUAACGGCUCACCAAGGCGACGAUGCGUAGCCGACCUGAGAGGGUGAUCGGCCACACUGGGACUGAGACACGGCCCAGACUCCUACGGGAGGCAGCAGUAGGGAAUCUUCCGCAAUGGACGAAAGUCUGACGGAGCAACGCCGCGUGAACGAUGAAGGCCUUCGGGUCGUAAAGUUCUGUUGUUAGGGAAGAACAAGUACCAGAGUAACUGCUGGUACCUUGACGGUACCUAACCAGAAAGCCACGG